RNAcentral lists this long non-coding RNA (447 nucleotides) under Helianthus annuus (common sunflower). Lineage: Eukaryota; Viridiplantae; Streptophyta; Magnoliopsida; Asterales; Asteraceae. The record is from RNAcentral.
GAGCUAAUGAUGAGAAAUACAAUUAUCUUAGCGGAUUUCAGUGAGAUUUCUUUGAAUCAAUGAUCUGAUUUGUUACACACACUGAAGCUCUUAAUAAUUUAUUUUUUAUAAAAUGGGAUGUAAAUAAUAAUAAUAGCAGUGAUGAGGUAAAACACAUGAGGAUGUGUUUAGGGAAGUGGACAAGACGAUUAAAACCGUUUUGCCGUGAUCCCCAAUUUAAACGACUUCUCCUUCCACUGAGCUUUUUUUUUUUUAUUUUCAUUCCAACUUUUAUUCAAAAAUACAGUUUUUGUCGAUUUUGAAGAGAUAUGGUGCGUCCAUUUACCAAUUCUGGAGGAUAAGUUGGUUCCUCACGGUGUAAUGGCUCGGACGCUAUAUUAAUGUUUGUGGCCAUCCUGAUCAAUGGGUUCUCAAUACCAUUGCAUCCUGGAAACACCUCAUACAUUU